RNAcentral lists this ribosomal RNA (1378 nucleotides) under uncultured prokaryote. Its description in RNAcentral is "partial 16S ribosomal RNA". It matches the Rfam family "Bacterial small subunit ribosomal RNA". The record is from RNAcentral.
CAUGCAAGUCGAACGUGAAGCCCGGUACCUAGUAUUGGGUGGAAAGUGGCGAACGGGUGAGUAACACGUUGGUGACCUGUCCCGAGGAGGGGGAUAACCGUGGGAAACCACGGCUAAUACCCCAGAUGUUUAAGUGCUUAGACAGCUUAGACUAAAGCUCCGGCGCCUCGGGAGGGGCCUGCGGGCUAUCAGGGCUAUCAGCUUGUUGGUGGGGUAAUGGCCUACCAAGGCGAAGACGGCUAGGGGGCGUGAGAGCGCGAUCCCCCACAAUGGAACUGAGACACGGUCCAUACUCCUACGGGAGGCAGCAGUGAGGAAUAUUGCACAAUGGGGGCAACCCUGAUGCAGCAACGCCGCGUGAACGAUGAAGGCCUUCGGGUUGUAAAGUUCUUUUCUGAGGGAAGAUAAUGACGGUACCUCAGGAAUAAGUCCCGGCUAACUACGUGCCAGCAGCCGCGGUAAAACGUAGGGGGCGAGCGUUAUCCGGAUUUAUUGGGCGUAAAGCGCACGUAGGCGGCGCCGUAAGUUGGACGUGAAAGCUCCUGGCUCAACUAGGAGAGGUCGUUCAAAACUGCGGCGAUUGAGGUUGAAAGAGGAGAGUGGAAUUCCCGGUGUAGUGGUGGAAUGCGUAGAUAUCGGGAGGAACACCAGUGGCGAAAGCGGCUCUCUGGUUCACACCUGACGCUGAGGUGCGAAAGCGUGGGGAGCGAACGGGAUUAGAUACCCCGGUAGUCCACGCUGUAAACGAUGGAUACUAGGUGUAGGAGGUUAUUUACCCCUUCUGUGCCGAAGCUAACGCGUUAAGUAUCCCGCCUGGGGACUACGACCGCAAGGUUAAAACUCAAAGGAAUUGACGGGGGCCCGCACAAGCAGCGGAGCGUGUGGUUUAAUUCGAUGAUACGCGAAGAACCUUACCUGGGUUUGACAUGUUGGUAGUAGUGAAGCGAAAGUGGAACGACCCUUCGGGGAGCCAUCACAGGUGCUGCAUGGCUGUCGUCAGCUCGUGUCGUGAGAUGUUGGGUUAAGUCCCGCAACGAGCGCAACCCUCGUUGCUAGUUAUACGUGUCUAGCGAGACUGCCGGUGAUAAACCGGAGGAAGGUGGGGAUGACGUCAAGUCAGCAUGGCCCUUAUAUCCUGGGCUACACACACGCUACAAUGGCCGGUACAAUGGGUAGCCAAGCCGCGAGGCGGAGCCAAUCCUACAAAGCCGGUCUCAGUUCGGAUUGCAGGCUGCAACUCGCCUGCAUGAAGUCGGAGUUGCUAGUAACCGCGCGUCAGCACAGUGCGGUGAAUACGUUCCCGGGCCUUGUACACACCGCCCGUCACGUCAUGGAAGUUGGCAACGCCUAAAGUCAGUGAGCUAACCCGAAAGGGAGG